Molecule: ribosomal RNA, 411 nt
Filed under: Triticum aestivum (bread wheat)
Lineage: Eukaryota; Viridiplantae; Streptophyta; Magnoliopsida; Poales; Poaceae
Description: partial small subunit ribosomal RNA
Source: RNAcentral
AUGGAAACGAAAAGGGGUGCCACGGCAAUGAAUCUGAAAAUGAUGCCACAGCGACAUAUCGGUUCCGGAAGCUCAUGGAGAUACCGGUGCAAAAGGAAAAGAGACAAGAGCGUGACAUGCAAGGACGAUGGGGUGAUCCCAUAUACCGGGUGUUCCACGAGUUGGAGACAAGGAAACGAGUGCCAAAUUGGACACGGUGCAAACACGAGCAUCUCAAACAUCGCAAGCAUUCGUUCACGGACGUCGUCUCGAGGUUAUACCUUUGAAGCGUGCAAGCGGGACAGUUUUCGUUCAGUGCAAAGUAGAGGAAGUAGACGUUCUCGUGAUGGCGGUUGUGGUUCUCGCGAUCUCGGCGACGGUAGUGGUACACGGGUCUUCGGCCAUGGAAGUAGUCGUACGACGUUUUCGUAG